RNAcentral lists this transfer RNA (72 nucleotides) under Gymnascella aurantiaca. RNAcentral's name for it is "tRNA-Ser". Lineage: Eukaryota; Fungi; Ascomycota; Eurotiomycetes; Onygenales; Gymnoascaceae. The record is from RNAcentral.
AGGAAGAUGUAAAGGUUAUAGCUUAAUUACUAAUAGUAUUAAAGAUUGAAAGUUCAAUUCUUUCUUCUCCUA